UCCCUAGUGGCUCAGUGGUAAAGAACCUGCCUGCAAUGCAAGAGGUGUGGGUUCAAUCCCUGCGUUGGGAA
RNAcentral lists this transfer RNA (71 nucleotides) under Capra hircus (goat). It matches the Rfam family "tRNA". Rfam says of the family: Transfer RNA (tRNA) molecules are approximately 80 nucleotides in length. Their secondary structure includes four short double-helical elements and three loops (D, anti-codon, and T loops). The record is from Rfam by way of RNAcentral. RNAcentral also lists the same sequence under 1 other name. Lineage: Eukaryota; Metazoa; Chordata; Mammalia; Artiodactyla; Bovidae.